Molecule: ribosomal RNA, 186 nt
Filed under: Triticum aestivum (bread wheat)
Lineage: Eukaryota; Viridiplantae; Streptophyta; Magnoliopsida; Poales; Poaceae
Description: partial small subunit ribosomal RNA
Source: RNAcentral
AUGGUCUCAAAGCUGCCCUCGUGCUUCUCCCUGCUCAUGCCCUUGAUCACCCCGAUGCAACCGGUGUUCCUGCCUCCGGUCACCAUCACAAAAUUCCCGACCUCAAACUUGAUGAAAUCCACAAUCUUGUUGGUCUCCAGGUCAAUCUUGAUGGUGUCGUUGGGUUUGAUGGCAGGGUCAGGGUAG